CUCCCUCUCCACUCUCCCAGCGCCCCCUGCCUCCAGCCCCCAGUCCUUUGCCCUCUGUCUCCCGCUCCCGGAGCUCCGUUCCGUUCUCUUGGACUCCAGUUCCUGGUUUCCUCGGGAGCUUCGGGGCAACGAGGUGGGGGGCGGGGUGCGGAGCCAGGGCGGCCCGAGGUUUGAAUGGGAAAGUAGCUUGUGGCGGCAGCCGGGGCAGUGGCAGCGGCCCCCAGUCCUCCCACCGCCACCGAGCUCGGGGACUCGUGUGUGGGGGACAGAAGGUCCUCUCUCUCCCCGGGCUGCUCCCCUCCUUUUUGUUGGGGGGGGGCAGGGAAAACGGUGGUCUUGCAAGUGUAGCGGAGGACUGCAGAGGAGGAGGAAGAAGAGGAGGAGGAGGUUGUGCCAGCUCCGCUCGGGAACCCCCGGCUCGGCUCGGGAACCCCGGGCCCCUGAGUUGCCAGUUAGCAGGGGCGGCAGAAGGAAGGAUUAAAGGGGAGGCAGAAGGCGGACCAGUUGGGAUUUGAUGCUGAACAGAAAAUCUCAGAAUAAUGAGUUACUGGAGCCUUGAGAAGAGGAACUGUGUUCAAUAUCGGCGACAUUUCUUAGUAGAUAAUAGCGUGUUUCAUGGUGAGUGGCCUAAAUUCUAUUUAUGGUGUUGACUUUAAAAAAAUGUCUGUAGAAUAGAACUUUAAGAGGUGGAAGGUGCCACAGAGGUAAUAAUAAUGACAAUAAUAAUAGCUAUCAUUUGCAUAUGGCCUGUUAAAAUCUGCAAGAUACCUCACGUUUUUUUGGUCUUAUUCUCACCCCAGCCCUUCAAGGGAGGUGCUAUGAUUACCCACAUUUUACAGGCUCCAAGAGCGUUGAUGACUUUCUGAGACUCAUACAUCAAGUCAGUGUCUAAGGGAAGAUUUGAACUCAGUUUUUUCUGACCUGAAGUUCAGCAUUUUUUAGCUUCCUCAAGAACCCAUAUCUGAGCAGGAAUCCCCUUGAAAACUUUUUUUUUAAAUGCUUGUCCACUCUCUAUCUGUAGAACUUCAGUAAGGGGUAACCAACGUUCAUCCAAAAAGUCAAUUUUAUUUUUGAAAAGCUCUUGAGAAAUUUCCCUUUUUAUCCAAUCCAGAGCUUCCUUUCUGUGAUCAUCAUCCCUUGCUUUUAGCUUGGCUAAGCAGAAAAAAAGAAGCCUCAGUCUCCUGUAUCUUUUAAGUGCUGGAGGGUGGUUUUCAUAAUGCUCUAAUCCUUCUCUUGACUAAACAGUUCUUCAUUUCAUGACCCCUUGAUUGGAUUCUGGAUGCAAACUGGAUUUAGGAUUUAAGCAGGAAUCUUAGUGAACUUUCGGGAGAACCAUUGAUCUGUAUUUCUUAGAGUGAUUGUUUUUAGUUUUGAUCUAAUCUUUGCAGCUCUGUGACUAGUCCUGGCAGGCUGCUUGUGGACAGAAGGAGCAACAAAGCUGGUUUAUCGAGUCUCAUCCGUCCGUCCUUCUCCUCCGGCCAAGCCUCUGCGGUCAUAAAUCCGACAGGGUCGAUAGCACUUGGCGGGAUGGCAGACCAUGCUCACGACCUUUUCCCAGUUGGAAUCUGGGAGCUGUACUACAUGUAGACAUGUUUCCCAUCUCUGAGCCCAGCUCUUGGCUCAUGAGCCCAGUGUCUUUUACGGUCCAGGAUUUAUGUGGAGCCUUGAUCUAGGAUAUCCUUUGGGGGAAGAAGCCUGGGAAAUGAAGAAUUAGGGAUUGAUCGGAGUGAUAACAAGUGAUAUUUGCAGAGAGUCAAACUCUUUCUGAAUUUUUCUGCUUUGAUUUCCUCCAUUCUUUUUGUAAACAGCCAUUGCUGAAGAUUCAGAAUUAUAUCCAGGGAUUUCUUCCUUCUGGGGUACCUAGAAAUGUGAGGGCACACUGAGGGAUGUUUCUAACUGGGACCAGGCCAUCUGCAAAUAAAGGCAAUAAGCCAUCAGAAUGGAUUCUGCUCUUAAUCUUACAGGAUCAUUUCACUUCCUUCCUAUUUCUCCCACCACUCAUUCAGCCCUAAGCCUUCUAUAGCCACCAAAGAUGGAGUGAUAGAAGAUCUGAU
RNAcentral lists this long non-coding RNA (2054 nucleotides) under Sarcophilus harrisii (Tasmanian devil). RNAcentral's name for it is "lncRNA (ENSSHAG00000027222.1)". The record is from RNAcentral. Lineage: Eukaryota; Metazoa; Chordata; Mammalia; Dasyuromorphia; Dasyuridae.